This 445-nucleotide ribosomal RNA is filed under the name uncultured organism. Its description in RNAcentral is "partial 16S ribosomal RNA". It matches the Rfam family "Bacterial small subunit ribosomal RNA", at positions 335 to 797 of the family's 1533-position model. The record is from RNAcentral.
ACUCCUGCGGGAGGCAGCAGUGGGGAAUAUUGGACAAUGGGCGCAAGCCUGAUCCAGCCAUGCCACGUGAGUGAUGAAGGCCCUAGGGUUGUAAAGCUCUUUCACCGGUGAAGAUAAUGACGGUAACCGGAGAAGAAGCCCCGGCUAACUUCGUGCCAGCAGCCGCGGUAAUACGAAGGGGGCUAGCGUUGUUCGGAUUUACUGGGCGUAAAGCGCACGUAGGCGGACUAUUAAGUCAGGGGUGAAAUCCCGGGGCUCAACCCCGGAACUGCCUUUGAUACUGGUAGUCUUGAGUUCGAGAGAGGUGAGUGGAAUUCCGAGUGUAGAGGUGAAAUUCGUAGAUAUUCGGAGGAACACCAGUGGCGAAGGCGGCUCACUGGCUCGAUACUGACGCUGAGGUGCGAAAGCGUGGGGAGCAAACAGGAUUAGAAACCCCAGUAGUCCC